RNAcentral lists this transfer RNA (71 nucleotides) under Spirulina sp. DLM2.Bin59. Its description in RNAcentral is "tRNA-Gly". It matches the Rfam family "tRNA". From Rfam's summary of the family: Transfer RNA (tRNA) molecules are approximately 80 nucleotides in length. Their secondary structure includes four short double-helical elements and three loops (D, anti-codon, and T loops). Further hydrogen bonds mediate the characteristic L-shaped molecular structure. tRNAs have two regions of fundamental functional importance: the anti-codon, which is responsible for specific mRNA codon recognition, and the 3' end, to which the tRNAs corresponding amino acid is attached (by aminoacyl-tRNA synthetases). tRNAs cope with the degeneracy of the genetic code in two manners: having more than one tRNA (with a specific anti-codon) for a particular amino acid; and 'wobble' base-pairing, i.e. permitting non-standard base-pairing at the 3rd anti-codon position. The record is from RNAcentral. Lineage: Bacteria; Bacillati; Cyanobacteriota; Cyanophyceae; Spirulinales; Spirulinaceae.
GCGGGUGUAGUUUAGUGGUAAAACCUCAGCCUUCCAAGCUGAUGAUAGGGAUUCGAUUUCCCUCACCCGCU